UAACACGUGGGCAACCUGCCUAAAGUCUGGGAUACCACUUGGAAACAGGUGCUAAUACCGGAUAACAACAAUAGCUGCAUGGCUAUUGCUUAAAAGGCGGCGAAAGCUGUCGCUAAAGGAUGGACCCGCGGUGCAUUAGCUAGUUGGUAAGGUAAUGGCUUACCAAGGCGACGAUGCAUAGCCGAGUUGAGAGACUGAUCGGCCACAUUGGGACUGAGACACGGCCCAAACUCCUACGGAAGGCAGCAG
Molecule: ribosomal RNA, 249 nt
Filed under: uncultured bacterium
Lineage: Bacteria
Description: partial 16S ribosomal RNA
Rfam family: Bacterial small subunit ribosomal RNA
Source: RNAcentral